AUGUCAUGAUGUGGACAUUUUCGUAGCAAGUCAUUUAAACGCUCCCAUGCUUCAUAUAGGCAUUCUCCUUCAUCUUGGGAAAAUUCACGGAUAUAAGUUCUCAUGGAAUU
Cornus florida is the source of this 110-nucleotide small nucleolar RNA. The record is from RefSeq and is a predicted model, not a curated record. Lineage: Eukaryota; Viridiplantae; Streptophyta; Magnoliopsida; Cornales; Cornaceae.